UGCAAGUCGAGCGGCAGCGCGGUAGCAAUACUGGCGGCGAGCGGCGGACGGGUGAGCAAUGCUUGGGAAUCUGCCUAUCAGUGGGGGACAACCCGGGGAAACUCGGGCUAAUACCGCAUACGUUCUUCGGAAGAAAGCAGGGGAUCGCAAGACCUUGCGCUGAUAGAUGAGCCCAAGUCGGAUUAGCUAGUUGGUGAGGUAAUGGCUCACCAAGGCGACGAUCCGUAGCUGGUCUGAGAGGACGACCAGCCACACCGGAACUGAGACACGGUCCGGACUCCUACGGGAGGCAGCAGUGGGGAAUAUUGGACAAUGGGGGCAACCCUGAUCCAGCGACGCCGCGUGGGUGAAGAAGGCCUGCGGGUUGUAAAGCCCUUUCGUUGGGGAAGAAAAGUGUCGACCUAACACGUCGGCACCUUGACGUUACCCAAAGAAGAAGCACCGGCUAACUCUGUGCCAGCAGCCGCGGUAAUACAGAGGGUGCGAGCGUUAAUCGGAAUUACUGGGCGUAAAGCGCACGUAGAUGGCUUCGUAAGUCGGGUGUGAAAUCCCCGGGCUUAACCUGCGAACGGCAUUCGAAACUGCGUUGCUCGAAUGUGGAAGAGGGAAGCGGAAUUCCAGGUGUAGCGGUGAAAUGCGUAGAUAUCUGGAGGAACAUCAGUGGCGAAAGCGGCUUCCUGGUCCAACAUUGACAUUCACGUGCGAAAGCGUGGGGAGCAAACAGGAUUAGAUACCCUGGUAGUCCACGCCAUAAACGAUGCGAACUAGAUGUCGGGAGGGUCAGCCUCCCGGUGUCGCAGCUAACGCGAUAAGUUCGCCGCCUGGGGAGUAC
RNAcentral lists this ribosomal RNA (832 nucleotides) under uncultured bacterium. Its description in RNAcentral is "bacterial SSU rRNA". It matches the Rfam family "Bacterial small subunit ribosomal RNA", at positions 56 to 883 of the family's 1533-position model. The record is from RNAcentral.